AGUGGCGAACGGGUGAGUAACGCGUGGAUGAUCUACCUACGAGAUGGGGAUAACUAUUAGAAAUAGUAGCUAAUACCGAAUAAAGUCAAUUAAUUUGUUAAUUGAUGAAAGGAAGCCCUUAAAGCUUCGCUUGUAGAUGAGUCUGCGUCUUAUUAGCUAGUUGGUAGGGUAAAUGCCUACCAAGGCGAUGAUAAGUAACCGGCCUGAGAGGGUGAACGGUCACACUGGAACUGAGAUACGGUCCAGACUCCUACGGGAGGCAGCAGCUAAGAAUCUUCCGCAAUGGGCGAAAGCCUGACGGAGCGACACUGCGUGAAUGAAGAAGGUCGAAAGAUUGUAAAAUUCUUUUAUAAAUGAGGAAUAAGCUUUGUAGGAAAUGACUAAGUGAUGACGUUAAUUUAUGAAUAAGCCCCGGCUAAUUACGUGCCAGCAGCCGCGGUAAUACGUAAGGGGCGAGCGUUGUUCGGGAUUAUUGGGCGUAAAGGGUGAGUAGGCGGAUAUAUAAGUCUAUGCAUAAAAUACCACAGCUCAACUGUGGAACUAUGUUGGAAACUAUAUGUCUAGAGUCUGAUA
Molecule: ribosomal RNA, 573 nt
Filed under: Borreliella garinii
Lineage: Bacteria; Pseudomonadati; Spirochaetota; Spirochaetia; Spirochaetales; Borreliaceae
Description: bacterial SSU rRNA
Rfam family: Bacterial small subunit ribosomal RNA
Source: RNAcentral